This 81-nucleotide small RNA is filed under the name Flavobacterium gillisiae. RNAcentral describes it as "Flavo-1 RNA". It matches the Rfam family "Flavo-1 RNA", at positions 9 to 76 of the family's 76-position model. Lineage: Bacteria; Pseudomonadati; Bacteroidota; Flavobacteriia; Flavobacteriales; Flavobacteriaceae. The record is from RNAcentral.
GGGAUAGCAGCGAAAAUCCUUUAAUAGUAUAGAGCCAUAGCGAAAUACUAUUAAAGAUUGCAGCGCAUAGCCCGACCCGCU